UUGUAUGAAAACACUCCGCCCUUCGGGCGUCGUGUUUCCAUACAAUUUCUCUUUUUCCCAAUUCCACUCGUGUUGAUAUAACUGUAUAUCAACACGGAAAAUGUUCUAUAUUUGUUAAAUAUCAACACGAGUGGAAAUUGGGAAAAUGAGAAAUUGUGUGGAAACACGACGCCCGAAGGGCGGAGUGUUUUCACACA
This 197-nucleotide microRNA precursor is filed under the name Paramuricea clavata. Lineage: Eukaryota; Metazoa; Cnidaria; Anthozoa; Malacalcyonacea; Plexauridae. The record is from RNAcentral.